RNAcentral lists this unclassified non-coding RNA (240 nucleotides) under soil metagenome. Its description in RNAcentral is "partial contains 5.8S ribosomal RNA, internal transcribed spacer 2, and large subunit ribosomal RNA". The record is from RNAcentral.
AACCUAGCACACCUGCGGUGUGUACCUGCGGAGGGAUCAUUACAGAGUUGCAAAACUCCCUAAACCAUUGUGAACGUUACCUAAACCGUUGCUUCGGCGGGCGGCGCGCCCUCGCGCGCGCCCCUGGGCCCCACCGCGGGCGCCCGCCGGAGGUCACCAAACUCUUGAUAUUAAUUGGCCUCUCUGAGUCUUCUGUACUGAAUAAGUCAAAACUUUCAGCAAUGGAUCUCAGAUCGGAAG